UAAGGAAUAUUGGUCAAUGGGCGGAAGCCUGAACCAGCCAUGCCGCGUGCAGGAAGACGGCCCUACGGGUUGUAAACUGCUUUUGUACCGGAAUAAACCCCCAUUCGUGAAUGGGGCUGAAUGUACGGUAAGAAUAAGGAUCGGCUAACUCCGUGCCAGCAGCCGCGGUAAUACGGAGGAUCCGAGCGUUAUCCGGAUUUAUUGGGUUUAAAGGGUGCGUAGGCGGCUUGUUAAGUCAGGGGUGAAAGACGGUAGCUCAACUAUCGCAGUGCCCUUGAUACUGAUGAGCUUGAAUGUACUAGAGGUAGGCGGAAUGUGACAAGUAGCGGUGAAAUGCAUAGAUAUGUCACAGAACACCAAUUGCGAAGGCAGCUUACUAUGGUAUGAUUGACGCUGAGGCACGAAAGCGUGGGGAUCAAACAG
RNAcentral lists this ribosomal RNA (423 nucleotides) under uncultured bacterium. RNAcentral describes it as "bacterial SSU rRNA". It matches the Rfam family "Bacterial small subunit ribosomal RNA", at positions 355 to 775 of the family's 1533-position model. The record is from RNAcentral.